AUUGAACGCUGGCGGCAUGCUUUACACAUGCAAGUCGAACGGCAGCACGGACUUCGGUCUGGUGGCGAGUGGCGAACGGGUGAGUAAUACAUCGGAACGUACCCAGAAGUGGGGGAUAACGCAGCGAAAGUUGCGCUAAUACCGCAUACGUUCUACGGAAGAAAGUGGGGGAUCGCAAGACCUCAUGCUUUUGGAGCGGCCGAUGUCUGAUUAGCUAGUUGGUAGGGUAAAGGCCUACCAAGGCGACGAUCAGUAGCUGGUCUGAGAGGACGACCAGCCACACUGGAACUGAGACACGGUCCAGACUCCUACGGGAGGCAGCAGUGGGGAAUUUUGGACAAUGGGCGCAAGCCUGAUCCAGCAAUGCCGCGUGAGUGAAGAAGGCCUUCGGGUUGUAAAGCUCUUUUGUCAGGGAAGAAACGGCUGCGGCUAAUAUCUGCGGCUAAUGACGGUACCUGAAGAAUAAGCACCGGCUAACUACGUG
This 484-nucleotide ribosomal RNA is filed under the name uncultured Massilia sp. RNAcentral's name for it is "bacterial SSU rRNA". It matches the Rfam family "Bacterial small subunit ribosomal RNA", at positions 30 to 507 of the family's 1533-position model. The record is from RNAcentral. Lineage: Bacteria; Pseudomonadati; Pseudomonadota; Betaproteobacteria; Burkholderiales; Oxalobacteraceae.